This 534-nucleotide long non-coding RNA is filed under the name Ficedula albicollis (Collared flycatcher). Its description in RNAcentral is "lncRNA (ENSFALG00000027547.1)". Lineage: Eukaryota; Metazoa; Chordata; Aves; Passeriformes; Muscicapidae. The record is from RNAcentral.
GAAGCUACGUGGGAUUUGGGCUCUGUGGGGUUUGGGCUCUGUGGGAUUUGGGCUCUGUAGGAUUUCUUAGGAGGUUCUGUGGGGUUUGGGCUCUGAGGGGUUUGGGCUUUCUGGCAUCUCUCAGGAGGCUCUGUGGGGUUUGGGCUCUGAGGGGUUUGGACUCUGUGGGAUUUGGGCUCUGUGGGAUCUCUCAGGAGGCUCUGUGGGAUUUGGGCUCUGUGGGUUUUGGACUCUGGGAUUUGGGCUCUAUGGGAUUUGGGCUCUGUAGGAUUUCUUAGGAGGUUCUGUGGGAUUUGGGCUCUGUAGGAUUUCUUAGGAGGUUCUGUGGGGUUUGGGCGGGGGGGGGGGGGGGGGGGGGGGGGGGGGGGGGGGGGGGGGGGGGGGGGGGGGGGGGGGGGGGGGGGGGGGGGGGGGGGGGGGGGGGGGGGGGGGGGGGGGGGGGGGGGGGGGGGGGGGGGGGGGGGGGGGGGGGGGGGGGGGGGGGGGGGGGGGGGGGGGGGGGGGGGGGGGGGGGGGGGGGGGGGGGGGGGGGGG